Molecule: long non-coding RNA, 1327 nt
Organism: Aethalodelphis obliquidens (Pacific white-sided dolphin)
Lineage: Eukaryota; Metazoa; Chordata; Mammalia; Artiodactyla; Delphinidae
Exons: 3
Source: RefSeq, a predicted model, not a curated record
ACACUCCUCUGGUUCCCGUAACUUCUUCAGUAACUUCCUGCCUCCAGGAUAUUUCUCAGUUGGCAAAUAAGCCAUGACUAGCAGUUAGGCAAUGUGCUGAAAUGCAUAGGAUAACAUCUUAUCAGUUGGAUUAAGACAGUAUGUUAGAACAGGUGGAAUGAACCUCUUGAAAAGGCAGAAGAAGCAAACGCCGAACUAAAAUGCCUAUAGCAUAAGUUGAGGGAUCUUUCUGAGCAGAGGAAGGGUGAGAUGACCUUUCUAUCCACUUAAGGAGUUCUUUGCCAUUUGAAGAGAAAGUAAAGUCUCUCAUCUUACAAGUUCAGUGAUGCUACCUACCGUCUGAGCCACUGGAGCAAAAGUAUGCAGCAAGUGAAAACAUUUCUUCAGAUCACGGCCGCCAAGUCAAGAGCAUUCCAGGGUAAUUAACUGAGAUCUGUUACUGUAUUUAAUAUGUGGAUUCUUUCAGCUUAUUCCUAAGUGUGACAUUGUGCAAAAAUGGGGAGGGGAAAGUCCAAAAUUCAAUGUGGAGAAAAAUAUUAAAAAUAAAACAGAAACAUAUGCAGGCAAAUGAGAAGGGAUUUUAUAGUUGAUAAAAAUCUGGACUAACUUUCAGAGACACAUUGUACUAUUUCUAGUUCUAGAUAUUUGUUAAGUUGGAGGCUGUGACUGAUCACUCAAGAACCUGAAAAUAAGAAAAACAGGAGAAUUAUGAAGCAUAUUUUCAUUGGCAUUUUAGAUUAACCUUUCAUGCUUUGUUUAUAUUAUAAAUAAUACUCCUAUUCACUGUAAUUCAUUUUCUACAUGAAGUGCCGAACAAACAGCUUCAUUUUCAAAGUAUUUAUAAAUACAUGAUUAUAUUCCAUAAAGUUAGAUCAUUUUUAAAAAUAAAUGACACAUUUUCUUACAGGAUAUUUUAUUAACUGAGCUUCCUUUAUGUUUUCCUUGGUCAGGCAAGAUGAAAUUGAAUUGCUAUAAUACAAAUUUUAUAUCAGAAACUUACUUAUUAACUUACAUGGUUCAUGGGGUCUGCAUUUUGUUUACUUUGAUCACAAAAAGGCAUUAUCUUUAAAAAGAAAACUUACAAAUUCAGAUGCAUAAUAAUGAAAUGUAGUGGUUGAGAAGUUGGAAACCAUCCGUGAAUCAAAUAUGCAAUUUCCAUUUGUUGGAAAGAAAAGAUUUAUACUGGUGACAAGUUUAGACAAAAAUACAUAUUUUAAAUUACUAAUGGAUGCAUUACAGUAAAUGUUGUAGAAAUAGAUGGAUUUCACUUUUUUAAAAUUUUUUAAAAAUUUUAUUUAUUUUAUUUUUGGCUGCGUUGGGUCUUCAU